AGCGGUCGCGCAUCGAGGUACUAACCGCGCCCAACACUGCCUGACUACGGUGAUCGGACGAGAACCGGUAUAUCCAGCGUGCUAUGGCCGUU
This 92-nucleotide unclassified non-coding RNA is filed under the name Omophoita sexnotata. Lineage: Eukaryota; Metazoa; Arthropoda; Insecta; Coleoptera; Chrysomelidae. The record is from RNAcentral.